CCACCUACAUGGGGUGAAUCGGACGCCUGCGUCUCGUGAGAGACGGAGGGGCCCGUAGGAGACCUUCCUGCUCCGAACCCGUCAGCUAACCCGGUAGGCGAGAAGGAAGGAAAGG
This 115-nucleotide non-coding RNA is filed under the name Streptomyces albus. RNAcentral's name for it is "c-di-AMP sequence". It matches the Rfam family "c-di-AMP riboswitch aptamer (ydaO/yuaA leader)", at positions 39 to 134 of the family's 134-position model. Rfam says of the family: This family represents a conserved RNA structure found upstream of the ydaO and yuaA genes in Bacillus subtilis and related genes in other bacteria. The ydaO/yuaA element is thought to act as a genetic "off" switch for the ydaO and yuaA genes in its native state. Lineage: Bacteria; Bacillati; Actinomycetota; Actinomycetes; Kitasatosporales; Streptomycetaceae. The record is from RNAcentral.